This 538-nucleotide ribosomal RNA is filed under the name Fragilariaceae SB-2012. RNAcentral describes it as "eukaryotic LSU rRNA". It matches the Rfam family "Eukaryotic large subunit ribosomal RNA", at positions 99 to 773 of the family's 3401-position model. The record is from RNAcentral. Lineage: Eukaryota; Bacillariophyta; Fragilariophyceae; Fragilariales; Fragilariaceae.
CGGGAAUAGCUCGAACCGAAAAUUGUGGUGUGUUUGCGUUACUUGCUCGGCCAAGGUCCCUUGGAACAGGGCAGCGUACAGGGUGAGACUCCCGUUUGGCUGUGCUUUUGAGCUUACAUGAUGGAGUCGAGUUGUUUGGGAUUGCAGCUCAAAGUGGGUGGUAAAUUCCAUCGAAAGCUAAAUAUUGGUGGGAGACCGAUAGCGUACAAGUACCGUGAGGGAAAGAUGCAAAGAACUUUGAAAAGAGAGUUAAAGAGUACCUGAAAUUGCUGAAAUGGAAGCGAAGGAAACCACUGUCGUGCUUGUCAUAUUUCUGUCACUGCUUGCGGUGGCGGCGCUGUGGCUGCACUGGUCAGGGUUGGUUCUGGUCUGGUACAAUUCGUGCUGGCUGGGACUGAUUUCUGUCGAAAUGGUUUUCUUUACCCCGUCUUGAAACACGGACCAAGGAGUCUAACAUAUGUGCGAGUACCGGGGUGUCAAACCCCGGUGCGUAAUGAAAGUGACAUUGGUUGUAUUAUUUCCCCAUCCGCCGGCCUCA